GAUGAACGCUAGCGGCAGGCCUAAUACAUGCAAGUCGAACGGAAUAUAGUUUUCGGAUUAUAUUUAGUGGCGCACGGGUGAGUAACACGUACAUAACUUACCCUCAAGAGGGGGAUAGCCUUGGGAAACUGAGCGUAAUACCCCAUAGUAUUAUUGAACGGCAUCGUUUGAUAAUUAAAGCUACGGCGCUUGAGGAUAGAUGUGCGUCUGAUUAGCUAGUUGGUAAGGUAACGGCUUACCAAGGCGACGAUCAGUAGGGGGCGUGAGAGCGUGGCCCCCCACACGGGUACUGAGACACGGACCCGACUCCUACGGGAGGCAGCAGUAAGGAAUAUUGGUCAAUGCCCGGAAGGGUGAACCAGCCAUGCCGCGUGAAGGAUGACUGCCCUCUGGGUUGUAAACUUCUUUUGGAUGGGACGAAAAAACGGGAUUUAUCCUGGACUGACGGUACCAUCAGAAUAAGCACCGGCUAACUCCGUG
This 480-nucleotide ribosomal RNA is filed under the name uncultured bacterium. RNAcentral describes it as "bacterial SSU rRNA". It matches the Rfam family "Bacterial small subunit ribosomal RNA", at positions 28 to 507 of the family's 1533-position model. RNAcentral also lists the same sequence under 1 other name. The record is from RNAcentral.